UACGGAGGGUGCAAGCGUUAAUCGGAAUUACUGGGCGUAAAGCGUGCGCAGGCGGUUUGUUAAGUCCGUUGUGAAAGCCCCGAGCUCAACUUGGGAAUUGCAGUGGAUACUGGCAGGCUGGAGUACGGUAGAGGAAGGUGGAAUUCCCGGUGUAGCAGUGAAAUGCGUAGAUAUCGGGAGGAACACCAGUGGCGAAGGCGGUUCUCUGGGCCUGUACUGACGCUGAGGAGCGAAAGCGUGGGGAGCGAACAGG
RNAcentral lists this ribosomal RNA (253 nucleotides) under uncultured bacterium. RNAcentral's name for it is "partial 16S ribosomal RNA". It matches the Rfam family "Bacterial small subunit ribosomal RNA", at positions 524 to 776 of the family's 1533-position model. The record is from RNAcentral.